Long non-coding RNA from Penaeus chinensis, 412 nucleotides. RefSeq lists it as uncharacterized. The record is from RefSeq and is a predicted model, not a curated record. The transcript is spliced from 2 exons. Lineage: Eukaryota; Metazoa; Arthropoda; Malacostraca; Decapoda; Penaeidae.
UAUAUAUUCAAACUUCAUCUUUGUUGCAUUAACACUGCAUGUGCUGAAGCACCAUUCUGCAUUUUGUACACAGCCUUUCUUCAGCAAAAUUAGUCCUCGUUUUCUAUAAGGCCUGUUUUCCUUUUUGUAACACAGGAAAAAAAAAAAAAAAAAAAGACCACACACACACUCCCUCAUUCAGCUCCAACAAACAAAUAAGCUGCAGGAGUUCCCAAUGGAGGGUGAGAGGCUCAGAGGAGACGCCAUCACCCCCAUCCCUCUGGCGGCGCGGCCUGAGACGACAGAACGCGCGCCCGGGACGAACAUUCUGACGACUCUGCGGGGUUACUUUUCAGGGAGGAAACCCAACUCAGCCGAAAUCAGCAGCUGUGACGUCAUCGGCAGCGAGGGCCAGAGAGAGAGCAGCGACAAG